RNAcentral lists this ribosomal RNA (487 nucleotides) under uncultured bacterium. Its description in RNAcentral is "bacterial SSU rRNA". It matches the Rfam family "Bacterial small subunit ribosomal RNA", at positions 1 to 507 of the family's 1533-position model. The record is from RNAcentral.
AGUAGUUUGAUCAUGGCUCAGGACGAACGCUGGCGGCGUGCUUAACACAUGCAAGUCGAACGGUGAACCAGAGCUUGCUCUGGGGAUCAGUGGCGAACGGGUGAGUAACACGUGGGCAACCUGCCCCAGACUCUGGGAUAACUCCGGGAAACCGGAGCUAAUACCGGAUAUGACUACUUCGGACAUCCGACGGUAGUGGAAAGUUUUUCGGUCUGGGAUGGGCCCGCGGCCUAUCAGCUAGUUGGUGGGGUAAUGGCCUACCAAGGCGACGACGGGUAGCCGGCCUGAGAGGGCGACCGGCCACACUGGAACUGAGACACGGUCCAGACUCCUACGGAAGGCAGCAGUGGGGAAUAUUGCACAAUGGGCGAAAGCCUGAUACAGCGACGCCGCGUGAGGGACGACGGCCUUCGGGUUGUAAACCUCUUUCAGCAGGGACGAAGCGAAAGUGACUGUACCUGCAGAAGAAGCACCGGCUAACUACGUG